CCUACGGGAGGCAGCAGUGAGGAAUAUUGGUCAAUGGGCGCGAGCCUGAACCAGCCAAGUCGCGUGAGGGAGGACGGCCCUACGGGUUGUAAACCUCUUUUGCCGGGGAGCAACGCGCGCCACGUGUGGCGUCACUGAGAGUACCCGAAGAAAAAGCAUCGGCUAACUCCGUGCCAGCAGCCGCGGUAAUACGGAGGAUGCGAGCGUUAUCCGGAUUUAUUGGGUUUAAAGGGUGCGUAGGCGGAUUGUUAAGUCAGCGGUAAAAUUGAGGGGCUCAACCACUCCCCGCCAUUGAAACUGGCGUUCUUGAGUGGGAGAGAAGUAUGCGGAAUUCGUGGUGUAGCGGUGAAAUGCGUAGAUAUCAGGAAGAACACCGGUGGCGAAGGCGGCAUGCUGGAGCGCGACUGACGUUGAGGCUCGAAAGCGUGGGUAGCGAACAGGAUUAGAUACCCGAGUAGUC
RNAcentral lists this ribosomal RNA (460 nucleotides) under uncultured bacterium. RNAcentral's name for it is "partial 16S ribosomal RNA". It matches the Rfam family "Bacterial small subunit ribosomal RNA", at positions 338 to 795 of the family's 1533-position model. The record is from RNAcentral.